UAGUACUGCAGCUCUUUUGUAGUUUGACUAGUAGGUUUUCUGGUUUUCACCUAAACCCCC
RNAcentral lists this small nuclear RNA (60 nucleotides) under Carlito syrichta (Philippine tarsier). Its description in RNAcentral is "U7 small nuclear RNA (ENSTSYG00000032620.1)". It matches the Rfam family "U7 small nuclear RNA". From Rfam's summary of the family: Animal histone pre-mRNAs are spliced by a different mechanism than nuclear pre-mRNAs and self-splicing introns. Lineage: Eukaryota; Metazoa; Chordata; Mammalia; Primates; Tarsiidae. The record is from Rfam by way of RNAcentral.